GUAGGUGGCAAGCGUUGUUCGGAAUCACUGGGCAUAAAGCGCGCGUAGGCGGCCAAGUCAGUCGGGUGUGAAAUCCCUCGGCUCAACCGAGGAACUGCGCCCGAUACUGCUCGGCUUGAGGUCCGGAGGGGAGAGUGGAAUUCCCGGUGGAGCGGUGAAAUGCGUAGAGAUCGGGAAGAACGCCGGCGGCGAAAGCGACUCUCUGGUCGGAAUCUGACGCUGAGGCGCGAAAGCUAGGGGAGCAAACGGGAUUAGAUACCCCGGUAGUCCUAGCCAUAAACGAUGGGCACUAGGUACUGGUCGUUCCUAUGCGGUCAGUGCUGGAGCGAAUGUUUUAAGUGCCCCGCCUGGGAAGUACGGCCGCAAGGCUAAA
Molecule: ribosomal RNA, 373 nt
Filed under: uncultured bacterium
Lineage: Bacteria
Description: bacterial SSU rRNA
Rfam family: Bacterial small subunit ribosomal RNA
Source: RNAcentral